CCGUGAGGCGGGUCGUGGAGGCCAAGGGCAAG
RNAcentral lists this non-coding RNA (32 nucleotides) under Syntrophotalea carbinolica DSM 2380. The record is from RNAcentral. Lineage: Bacteria; Pseudomonadati; Thermodesulfobacteriota; Desulfuromonadia; Desulfuromonadales; Syntrophotaleaceae.